RNAcentral lists this ribosomal RNA (253 nucleotides) under uncultured bacterium. RNAcentral's name for it is "partial 16S ribosomal RNA". It matches the Rfam family "Bacterial small subunit ribosomal RNA", at positions 524 to 776 of the family's 1533-position model. The record is from RNAcentral.
GACAGAGGGUGCAAACGUUGUUCGGAGUUACUGGGCGUAAAGAGUGCGUAGGCGGUUUUCUAAGUUUGGUGUGAAAUCUCCCGGCUCAACUGGGAGGGUGCGCCGAAGACUGGAAGGCUUGAGUAUGGGAGAGGUAAGCGGAAUUCCUGGUGUAGCGGUGAAAUGCGUAGAUAUCAGGAGGAACACCUGCGGUGUAGACGGCUUACUGGACCAUAACUGACGCUGAGGCACGAAAGCGUGGGUAGCAAACAGG